This 31-nucleotide non-coding RNA is filed under the name Mus musculus (house mouse). The record is from RNAcentral. Lineage: Eukaryota; Metazoa; Chordata; Mammalia; Rodentia; Muridae.
UCAAGACACAUUUCUGUGGUCCUUCAACUGU